Molecule: ribosomal RNA, 253 nt
Filed under: uncultured bacterium
Lineage: Bacteria
Description: partial 16S ribosomal RNA
Rfam family: Bacterial small subunit ribosomal RNA
Source: RNAcentral
GACAGAGGGUGCAAACGUUGUUCGGAAUUACUGGGCGUAAAGCGCGUGUAGGCUGCUUCGCAAGUCGGAUGUGAAAGCCCUGGGCUCAACCCAGGAAGUGCAUUCGAAACUGCAGAGCUGGAGUCCUGGAGAGGAAGGCGGAAUUCUCGGUGUAGAGGUGAAAUUCGUAGAUAUCUGGAGGAACACCGGUGGCGAAGGCGGCGUUCUGGACUGCAACUGACACUGAGGAACGAAAGCCAGGGGAGCAAACGGG